CCCCCAACUUCUGAAAAUUGAC
RNAcentral lists this ribosomal RNA (22 nucleotides) under Cytospora punicae. RNAcentral's name for it is "partial 28S ribosomal RNA". The record is from RNAcentral. RNAcentral also lists the same sequence under 3 other names. Lineage: Eukaryota; Fungi; Ascomycota; Sordariomycetes; Diaporthales; Cytosporaceae.